This 250-nucleotide ribosomal RNA is filed under the name uncultured bacterium. Its description in RNAcentral is "partial 16S ribosomal RNA". It matches the Rfam family "Bacterial small subunit ribosomal RNA", at positions 524 to 773 of the family's 1533-position model. The record is from RNAcentral.
UACAGAGGGGGCAAGCGUUGUUCGGAAUUACUGGGCGUAAAGGGCGCGUAGGCGGCCGACUAAGUCAGACGUGAAAUCCCCAGGCUCAACCUGGGAACUGCGUCUGAUACUGGACGGCUUGAGUUCGGGAGAGGGAAGUGGAAUUCCAGGUGUAGCGGUGAAAUGCGUAGAUAUCUGGAGGAACACCGGUGGCGAAGGCGGCUUCCUGGACCGACACUGACGCUGAGGCGCGAAAGCCAGGGGAGCAAAC